This is a non-coding RNA of Phascolarctos cinereus (koala), 605 nucleotides long. Lineage: Eukaryota; Metazoa; Chordata; Mammalia; Diprotodontia; Phascolarctidae. The record is from RefSeq and is a predicted model, not a curated record.
AUGGAUGUGGAGAUUAUUGUGGACUGGAGGAAAAGUAACAAGGGAGAGAAUGUGACCAUCCCAAUCACCUGCAUGGAUUGUUUCUGCUGACAAGGAUUGUUGCCACAGGUAGGUGUUACAGGAGAUAGAAUUCUGAGCCUGGAGUCAGGAAGACCGGACUGCAAAUCUAGCCUCAGACACCUGAAAAUUACAGCACCUGCCUGGCAAGGUUAUCGUGAGGAUCAAAUGAGAUGACAUUUGUGAAGUGCUUAACCCAGUGCUUGGCACAUAGUAGGCACUAUAUAAACGCUCAUUCCCUAUCUCUGUAUUAAUGCUGAACACCGGGAUAUAUAGAGCAGGCACAAAAGAAGUAUUUGUUGAAUCUCAGUCCUGGAAAACUGAUAGACAACACACUUUCUUCCUUUCAUUAGAGAAAAGGGUACUAUAAACCAUGGUAUUCAACGAUUUGAUUAAUUCAAAUGUUUGUUUUUGUCACAAGGAAAGGUUGAAGAGUUAUGUUAAGGGUGAAAUAACUGGUGUAUAAACCAGCAGCAACAACAGAACUACUUUUAAAAAGUAAAUAUUGGUUGAACUGAAAAUAAUGAUAAUAAAAAACAUCCACAUUC